Molecule: long non-coding RNA, 2005 nt
Filed under: Phaseolus vulgaris (common bean)
Lineage: Eukaryota; Viridiplantae; Streptophyta; Magnoliopsida; Fabales; Fabaceae
Description: long non-coding RNA (PVUL_LNC000479)
Source: RNAcentral
UUUUUUUAAGUAUUUACGACCAUUAUUUUAUUAAAAAAUAACUUUAAACUUACUUAAUUUUAUAAUAAUAAUUUAUAAAAUGUUGCAUUCACGUAUAUACAUUAUAAAUUAUUUUUAUUUUAUAUGUUACGAACUUGUACAUUAUAAAUUAUUCUUAUUUUACAUGUUACGAAUUAUGUUCUUACUAGGGAGAUGGGACCUAGAGAACUAUUGAAGUUUUUUUGUUUCUUCCUUCGGUCGGUCAAAUUGCUGGGUGAUGAACUGGGGUUCCUCUCGUCCUCCUGCUUCUCCUUCGGCACUCGGUCUCGGGUGAACACCGGAUGGUGGGGUACCUGCGAAGGCACUUCGACGCUCAAGUCAGUAAAGUGGGUGGUCAGCUCUCAGGUAGGUGAACAGUAAUAAAUGGCAUACCUUACUCCUUGGGAUGUGUGCUAUUUAUAUUAUUCUAAUGGGCCUACCUUGUUGGGCCCGUUUAUCGGAGUGGACCCUGCUUAGAGUUGCAUUACUUAAUUCUUAAUGACGAAUUAGUUUCACUGACCUUGAUUUGAGCAUUAGCGGUAAUAUGGGUCGGCCGUCGGCCAAGUUUCCCUGGUCUCGGUCGUCUCGGCCAAGUUUUCUAAGGUCUAGGCCAGGUAAACUGUCGGCCUCGUCGUCUCGGCCAAGUCUCUCAGGUCUCUGCCAAGUUCCCCUAGUCUCGGUCAGGUAGACCAGGUCUCGGACAGUCAGGUAGGUCUCGGUCAGGAGACUAGGGGUUGGCCUCGCCCAUACCGGUACAAAUUAUUUUUAUUUUUACUCAAUGUGAUAUACUACAUGUUGGACGUAUAUAGAACUUGUAAUGGCAAUUUUCUUGAAGUAACUAAGAGUGAGGUUGCAACUUUGGGUAGGGCAUAAUGAAAUAGAGGCGAAGCUACGUUUCAUAGGCACAGAAAGCAACAAAAAGAGCAAGAAGAAGAAAGGCUGUUAGCAAAACGGGAAAAGAAAAUAAAAGUAACAGGAAAUGAAGGGUAAAGCCUAGAAGGUUGUUAUUUGUCAAGUGUUAAAAAGAGCUAACGAAAACUUUCACUAUCCCCUUUGUUACUUUUCAGAAACGUAGACCACAGUGAAAUCACUAUUUUCUGAGGGAGCAAUACUAUCUGCACAGCAAUCACAUAUUUUUUUUUUUUUAUCAGCAAAUAGCAAUGAAAUUAAAUAAGACCACUUCAGGGGUGGUCCAACCCUUAUACAACAAAACAGAUUUUCUCAAAGAGCCUUUCCAUCUACAUAUCAACCAAAAGACCUCCUACUCUCUUUCCCAUCUCAAUCAAUAAUAAAAGAAACCCAAGAAACAACCUUUUACAUAAAAACUAAACAGAAUACAACUGAAAUAUAAAAUGACACAUGAACAGUUGCACUCAAACUCUCGUUGGAAUACAACAAUGACGCAGCAACACUAUUAUUCUUGGGAUUAUAAUGUCAAAAUGUUGAUGUCAUGAAGCAAGAGAAAUAAAGACAGAAGAUGAGUCAAUUAUUUGUUGAUUGGAAAGAAGAAGUGACAUUUGUUUGGAAUAAUCGAUGGGGCUGAUGACAUUUACAGUUAAUCAAAAUCUUGACUUGUAAUGAAACUGUGGAAGAGAUGAUCCAAGUCACAGGCACCAUGGGCAGUAGAAAAUGCAAGAUGCAUGAUAUAGAAAGCAAAAGGGAGUUGGAAGUUGUCAAGUUAAAAGCUUCGAACAAGAGUAUGAUUGAUGUAGGUAAGAUGAGCUUGGUAUGGAGAAAGGUCCUACAAAGAUCGAAAUUGAUGCAAAGAAGGUGUGAAAAGUGAGAACAAGGUCAUGUGAGAGUGUGAGGAAGUGCAUGCAGGAAAGGAAGGGAUGAGGAAGGGAGUGGGUAUGUGUGUGUGAAGAAGACGGUGGUUUGUUGGGCACCUGUCUUUUGUCUUAUAAAUGGUGGCACGUGAUGCUCACGGGUCCCCCACGAAUGUCUGUCUUCGAUCCCUCCAAACUUUUAAUCAAUCAACAACCAUCUU